CUUUUUGAAACGCAAGUUUGCGCCCGAUGCCAUUAGGUUGAGGGCACGUCUGCCUGGGUGUCACAUAUCGAAGCCUCUUGCCAAUUUUCCUUUGACUAUUGUGCAGGGUGGAUGUUGGCCUCCCGUGAGCUCUUUCGUCUCAUGGUUGGUUGAAAAUUGAGACCUUGGUAGGGUGUGCCAUGAUAGAUGGUGGUUGUGUGACCCACGAGACCAAUCAUGCGCCGCUUUAUUGAAUUUGGCCUCUUUUACCCAUAUGCGUUUCUAAACGCUCGUGUUGAGACCUCAGGUCAGGCGGGGCUACCCGCUGAAUUUAAGCAUAUCAAUAAGCGGAGGAAAAGAAACUAACAAGGAUUCCCCUAGUAACGGCGAGCGAACCGGGAUAAGCCCACCAUGAGAAUCGGUCGCCCUCGGCGUUCGAAUUGUAGCGAAAAAAAACCCUUAAAAAAUG
Molecule: ribosomal RNA, 448 nt
Filed under: Vicia narbonensis
Lineage: Eukaryota; Viridiplantae; Streptophyta; Magnoliopsida; Fabales; Fabaceae
Description: eukaryotic LSU rRNA
Rfam family: Eukaryotic large subunit ribosomal RNA (bases 278-448)
Source: RNAcentral